UUAGAUACCCUGGUAGUCCACGCCGUAAACGUUGGGCACUAGGUGUGGGGUCUAUUCAACGGACUCCGUGCCGUCGCUAACGCAUUAAGUGCCCCGCCUGGGGAGUACGGCCGCAAGGCUAAAACUCAAAGGAAUUGACGGGGGCCCGCACAAGCAGCGGAGCAUGUUGCUUAAUUCGAGGCAACGCGAAGAACCUUACCUGGGUUUGACAUGUAGAGAAAAGCCACAGAGAUGUGGUGUCCUUCGGGGUUCUACACAGGUGGUGCAUGGUUGUCGUCAGCUCGUGUCGUGAGAUGUUGGGUUAAGUCCCGCAACGAGCGCAACCCUUGUCCUAUGUUGCCAGCACGUAAUGGUGGGGACUCGUAGGAGACUGCCGGGGUCAACUCGGAGGAAGGUGGGGAUGACGUCAAAUCAUCAUGCCCCUUAUAUCCAGGGCUGCAAACAUGCUACAAUGGCCGGUACAAAGGGCUGCUAAACCGCGAGGUGGAGCGAAUCCCAUAAAGCCGGUCUCAGUUCGGAUUGGAGUCUGCAACUCGACUCCAUGAAGCUGGAGUUGCUAGUAAUCCCGGAUCAGCAACGCCGGGGUGAAUACGUUCCCGGGCCUUGUACACACCGCCCGUCACACCAUGAAAGUUGGAAACGCCCGAAGCCAGUGGCCCAACCCCUUGGGGAGGGAGCUGUCGAAGGUGGAAUCAGCGAUUAGGGUG
This 707-nucleotide ribosomal RNA is filed under the name uncultured bacterium. RNAcentral describes it as "bacterial SSU rRNA". It matches the Rfam family "Bacterial small subunit ribosomal RNA", at positions 778 to 1482 of the family's 1533-position model. The record is from RNAcentral.